GCACUUGACUUUAAGACUUAAACUUGACUUAAACUUUCAAUUUAUUCAAAAUCAUAUAUAUAUGUAUAUUUGUAAAUAUUUGUAUUUUUCUUUUAUUUAUUAAAACAAUUAUAAAAAAGAAAAGUUAUUUAAUUUAAAGUACUGAGUUUUUCUUUGUGUUGUUGUAUGUCUCUUUUUUCUCUUCUCUUUUCCGACAGGUUUCAUUAUGAGCACACAGGUGCAGUGAAUCAGGUGUCGACACGUGGAAGCUUGCCGGCGUGUUUGUAAAGUCCAUUUAAACCAGAUUAGAAGAUCGCUUGGAAAGUCUCCUCUCUCCUGGCUUGUUUUGUUUAUUUGUUAAAACCUAUUUGCUCGACGAUAUUGUCGAAUUUUACAAUGAGUGUUGACUAUUAUUGUGAUCCAUGUAUGUUGAUGCUUGUGAUAAGAAAGCUGGGCCUGAAUGCGUCAGCCGAAUACUAAUAUCUCCAGACUGCCAUUCCCUAUGAGACGCGUACGAGCGGCCUGCAUGCAUAGACUCUGUUACAUAAUUAAUGCAGUGUGCCUUCUCAUUCAGGCAUGUUCACUGUGUCAGUCUUGGCUAUGCGUUUUAAAUUCCGUUUUAUCUUGUUUUUCAAGCUGGCCUAUCUCAUUCGCUUUCUUUCGCUCUUUUGUCUUUCUCUUCUUCUGUCUCUCACUCUCUGCUUCUUUCUCCUAGUUCUUUUAACCGAACUCCCUCAUUAUUUCCCUCUCUCCUUUCACAUUCUAUCUUUUCAGAUAACUCAGAGAGACCGUAUAUCGCCUGACUGCUUGUUAAUGUCACAUUCUCUUCUUUUUUUUAGUUGAUUUGCCGACGCAUAUAGGUACAGACGCUUGGAAAAGGGCUACCUGUAACAGAAGUACCUCAUUCUAUCAUGCCAUCAUUUCCUGGCAUGACGAGAGUCAGAAGCCAAGAGGAGGAGCCCUGCUGGCUCACCUGAUGCUUGCUGUACCACCUAGGAGAUCUACGCCAUCCAAACCAAGCUCCAGGUUGCGACGGAUCUCCCUCGACCCCACCCUCCCUUGUUGUUAGCCGUGGCAGGCUGAAGGAUGGAGCAGACUGGAGCAAAUCUCACCUCAGGCAGCGGCAUGCCGUUGAUGAUGAGGUCAGGCUGCUGAGGGCCCUGCCCUGUGAAGGUGUGGUGGUAGCCAUGGUUGGGUGCAGCAUUCCUGGAGUUCUGGUUCUCCACGUUGAGGAAGGUGCUCUCGGAGCGCCUGCAGCCCAGCGGCAGAGUCUGCUGGUGGUAGUCGAAGUAGUUGAGCGAAGAGGUGAGAGACGAGCAACUCACCACAUUCAUCUUGUCCGUCUCCUCCACGUCCCGCGGCACCAGCCGGAUGUCAUUCUUGCUCAGCUUCUUCUUCUUGCUGGACUUCUUCUGGUUGCCGUAGGAGUACUCCGCCACCCUGCGCAGGUACAAGAAACUGAACAGACUCAAUAAAGCAAUGCUCUGCCUUCCUCACUGCACGCACAGCCAGUGCCAGGUCUCCGCCUGGCUCGGGCUGAGGUGCCAGACCCAUAUUCAUUGGCGGCACGAGAGAGAGCGUAGCCACAUUCGAGCAACCUCCGGCCGCCAAUGGAGCCGACAUCCCUCAUUUGUUUGCAUUUUCAUGCUCGGCGAUUUGACUUGUUACAAACAUACAUACACAAUGCAAACAUGCCAAACCACAGAAGCACACACGGCGACAAAUGACACUGAGCAUCAUUGUGAGUGUAAGCAUUAAUAUGCAAAGUUAAGCUGGCGUUUGUCUACUUUUUCGCUUGUGUUACUAACACGCCUGCUGGCAGGUGGGUUGUGAAUUUCAAUUCUGUUAGCUACGCUCUGUGGCUAACGCUAACUUGAUUUGAGGGCUUUGAUUGUAAUCACAGUAAAUGAGAAACUUUGAAAUCUUGCCCUGAAGGAUGCUUAAGUUGGAAAUCUAAACAUAAACUAAUCUGGAGAGUUGAGUAUUUGUCUGGGCUUAUCCCCCCUCUCUCUUUUUUUCACUGCAUCUUAUAACCCUGAAACAAUUUUACAAGUAUUUAUUUUUAUGUGCUCCGAAGGGCACACAUUCGUUGCAAAGUACGGCUUUAGCUUAAUGGUACUGUCGCUUCACCUGCACAACACAAAGCUCCUCUUUCUGUGCUUUUCAUUUGGAUUCAGCUUGUGUCUCCCUGCUCCUUACUUUUUUGUGGCUCGGAAAAAAAUGAUAACGGUGCAGGACCUUAUCUUUUUAGGAGGCAUCUAAAAGCAUUUUUUCUUCUGCGCGACUGAAAGCACAGAAAAAGUUAGGCAGUCUGAGGCAUGCUUAAUAGCUGGUCGAAAAAUAUACUAUUCUUGUCAUUCAAUGGAAUAGUGAGCUUUUUGUCUUUCGUUAAAGAAAAAGUAUCACAGAAAUAUGCAAAGAGAUACAGUUGAAGUCAGAAUGUUAGC
Danio rerio (zebrafish) is the source of this 2426-nucleotide non-coding RNA. Lineage: Eukaryota; Metazoa; Chordata; Actinopteri; Cypriniformes; Danionidae. The record is from Ensembl.